Molecule: ribosomal RNA, 777 nt
Filed under: uncultured Neocallimastigales
Lineage: Eukaryota; Fungi; Neocallimastigomycota; Neocallimastigomycetes; Neocallimastigales
Description: partial large subunit ribosomal RNA
Rfam family: Eukaryotic large subunit ribosomal RNA
Source: RNAcentral
UACUAGAGUAGCACUCGCAUAUCAAUAAGCGGAGGAAAAGAAACUAACAAGGAUUCCCCUAGUAACGGCGAGUGAAGCGGGAAGAGCUCAAAUUUGAAAUCUUAAAGGGUUUCCCUUUACGAAUUGUAGUUUAAAGAAGUGUUUUCUGUUGAGGUUUUGGUAAAAGUUCUUUGGAAUAGGACAUCAUAGAGGGUGAGAAUCCCGUAUUUGACCUUUACUUUCAACUUUGUGAUACACUUUCAAAGAGUCGGAUUGUUUGGGAAUGCAGUCCAAAAUGGGUGGUAAAUUUCAUCUAAAGCUAAAUAUUGGCGAGAGACCGAUAGCGAACAAGUACCGUGAGGGAAAGAUGAAAAGAACUUUGGAAAAGAGAGUUAAACAGUACGUGAAAUUGUCAAAAGGGAAGCGUUUGACACCAGUGUUGUUUUUCUGAAAAUCAAUUAAAGAACUGUUUAUGCUAAGCUGUUUAGACUUUAUCAGCUAAUCUGUUUAGUUUUGAGCUUUUCUUUAAUGCACUUUUCAGUUAACAAGUCAACAUCAAUUUCUUUUGCUGUAAAAAAGGCUUGAGGAAGGUGGCUUGAGAUUCGUCUUAAGUGUUUAUAGCCUCUUGCCUAUGCAGUCGGAGAGAUUGAGGUCUGCAGCGUAGAUCCUUCGGGACUAAAUGCAUUUGUGCUAAGUUAUAGCAUUUUAUAGACAACUUGUUGACUAUGAUUUGUCUUGUAGCUUACUCGCUUAUGUUAUUUUACCUACGCUUAGGAUGUUGAUAUCGCGCUCUCACUG